GGAGUCCGGGCCCUCAGCCCCUCCUCCCUCAGACCCAGGAGUCCGGGCCCCCAGCCCCUCCUCCCUCAGCUCUGGGGCCUGGGCCCCGCCCCGGGUAUAAGGCUGGCCUUUGGAGAGGACUGUGUCUGCUUGGCCGUGCUGGAAAUGAUGCUGAAGAUGGUCCAGAUGGUGAUGCUGGUCUUCUCUGGAUGGGGGAGCAGUCUGAGCCCUUUGGGGCGGGAACCAGAGCCACGCAGUGUGGCAGGGGGUGGGGUUUCUUCCCGACGUCAGCAUGCUCCAGCUGCGACCAGAUGAGGGGCACAGAGUCGCCCACGGCCUGAGACUUGAAACUGCGCUUGAGUGCCUGGCAUGGGGUUUCGCCACGUCUCCCAGGCUGGUCUCGAACUAUUGGACUUCAGUGAUCCACUUGCUUCGUCCUCCCAGAGUGCUAGGAUUACAGGCGUGACCACCAUGCCUGGCCAAUGUCAGGCUAUCUUUCUAUAUCCGAAGCAGGCC
Macaca mulatta (Rhesus monkey) is the source of this 495-nucleotide non-coding RNA. The record is from RefSeq and is a predicted model, not a curated record. Lineage: Eukaryota; Metazoa; Chordata; Mammalia; Primates; Cercopithecidae.